CAGAUUCAUACACUCCCAGGUCAGCUGGCAAUUAAGCCUAGAAGGAAGUAUCUAACAGACUCUCACAUGCAAGCAAACAGGAAAACCAAAGAGAGGAGGACAAGUGAGCCGCGUGCUCAUCUAUGCUGUGCUUGUGGGGGAGGCUGCAGAUCUCAGAUGCUGAUAAGCAAGGAUGGACCAGAUGGCUUGCUACCUUUCUGCCUUUCUCACGUUGUUUGGGCCAUUUUGUUCCUAAAGAUAUUUUAAAACAGCCAAACAGGAUUCGAGUGAUGCAUUUGGAUGGCUUAGUUCCCUGCAUUGUGUCUAGAGCCUCGAACGCAGCAGACGCUUAGCUCCAACGUGGCUGUAGUGGCUUCAUCCUCACAACUUCGGUCUUUUAACUGGAAGACUUUGGAUAACCGUCUCGUGGGCUUAUUCGCUGGCAGUUACAAAUCAGUCUGGUGGUAAUUAUGCCUGCAGAUCAGCUAUUAAGUUUAUGUGCUUGUCAAAAUUUGACUCUAUGCUCCAUUGAAAUGUAAUUAGAGCCACUUAGAGCUGGUCAGACGCCAAUCU
This 552-nucleotide long non-coding RNA is filed under the name Mus spicilegus (steppe mouse). Its description in RNAcentral is "lncRNA (ENSMSIG00000019453.1)". The record is from RNAcentral. Lineage: Eukaryota; Metazoa; Chordata; Mammalia; Rodentia; Muridae.